GAUGAACGCUGGCGGCGUGCCUAACACAUGCAAGUCGAGCGAAGCGCUUAAAUUAGAUUUCUUCGGAAUGACGAUUUUUGUGACUGAGCGGCGGACGGGUGAGUAACGCGUGGGUAACCUGCCUCAUACAGGGGGAUAACAGUUAGAAAUGACUGCUAAUACCGCAUAAGACCCCAGCUUCGCAUGAAGCGGUGGUAAAAACUCCGGUGGUAUGAGAUGGACCCGCGUCUGAUUAGCUAGUUGGUAAGGUAACGGCUUACCAAGGCGACGAUCAGUAGCCGACCUGAGAGGGUGACCGGGCACAUUGGGACUGAUACACGGCCCAGACUCCUACGGGAGGCAGCAGUGGGGAAUAUUGCACAAUGGGGGAAACCCUGAUGCAGCGACGCCGCGUGAAGGAUGAAGUAUUUCGGUAUGUAAACUUCUAUCAGCAGGGAAGAAAGUGACGGUACCUGACUAAGAAGCCCCGGCUAACUACGUG
This 481-nucleotide ribosomal RNA is filed under the name uncultured bacterium. RNAcentral describes it as "partial 16S ribosomal RNA". It matches the Rfam family "Bacterial small subunit ribosomal RNA", at positions 28 to 507 of the family's 1533-position model. The record is from RNAcentral.